UUGGAGGGCAAGUCUGGUGCCAGCAGCCGCGGUAAUUCCAGCUCCAAUAGCGUAUAUUAAAGUUGUUGCAGUUAAAAAGCUCGUAGUUGAAUUUCGGGAUCAAUAUAUCGGUCGUGCCAUCGGUACGUACUGGUAUGAUUGGUUUCUCCUUUCUGACGAACCAUGAUGUCAUUAAUUUGGUGUUAUGGGAAGUUAGGACUGUUACUUUGAAAAAAUUAGAGUGUUUAAAGCAGGCUUUAGCUUGAAUACAUUAGCAUGGAAUAAUGAAAUAGGACGUUCGAACCUAUUUUGUUGGUUUCUAGGAUCAACGUAAUGAUUAAUAGGGAUAGUUGGG
Molecule: small RNA, 334 nt
Filed under: uncultured Glomus
Lineage: Eukaryota; Fungi; Glomeromycota; Glomeromycetes; Glomerales; Glomeraceae
Description: SSU rRNA
Rfam family: Eukaryotic small subunit ribosomal RNA
Source: RNAcentral